This 4761-nucleotide unclassified non-coding RNA is filed under the name Amphibalanus amphitrite. RNAcentral describes it as "f-box only protein 11-like, transcript variant X3". Lineage: Eukaryota; Metazoa; Arthropoda; Thecostraca; Balanomorpha; Balanidae. The record is from RNAcentral.
UCUGUUGUUGUCGCGUAUUGAUGGCGCAGUGGUCGCGCAGCGAAUUUUCUGGGAAACAGGAUGCGCUGUCUGCUUUGUUCCUUGUGACGGUGUAGUUAAUGUGUCACUAUUGCUGUUAAGUUUCGUUUGUGAUAUUUUGAGAACAGGAUGUCUUCUAGUUCUACUAAAAUAAUGCGUGGAAGUGUGCGGAGAUCCAAGAGGAGAUCGGCAAAACGUCCUUGUCCUGCCAAUGAAGAUGACGCCUCCGGCUCCGUUACCUCGGUGGAGAGGCCCGGCCGCGGCUACCUGCCCAAUCCGGCCGGCGGCCGCCUCAGUCCCGAACAGAUGGAGUCGCUGUUCCGUCUGCCGUUCCCCAAUGAGCUGGAGCUGGACAACUUCCUGCGGCCGGUGUCGCCCAGCGCGCCGUCCGAGGCCGGCCCGGCCGUGCCGCACAGUCACCGGCUGCGCAACGCCAAGUCGCCGCCGCCGGGGCCCAGCGGCCACCUGGCCGCCUACCCGGGCCCGCGGCCGGCCCGGCGCAGCUCCACAGACGAGGACAGCUGUGACCCGAUGGGCGAGGACCUGUCUCUGGCCGGCUCGGCGGCCGCCGCCGCCUACCAUCUGCGCCACCGGUCGCCCACGCCCGGACCCAGCGGCGCGUGCACGCCCUCGUGCGGCGCCGCCAGCCGCGACCCCACCCUGCUGCCCUACAGAAAACGGCCCCGCAAGGGAUCCCUGGUGGAAACGGCCACCGAGAAGAGCGUGGCAGCGCAGUACCUGCUGUACGAGCUGCCUGACGAGGUGCUGGUCACCAUCUUCUCCUACCUGCACGAAUGUGACCUGUGCCGCGCCGCGCGCGUCUGCCGCCGCUUCUACAAGAUCGCCAACGACCUGGGACUCUGGAAAACCCUGUACCAGAACGUGUUCGAGUACGACCGUCCGCUGCUGCACCCGGCCCCGUGCGAGUUCGAGUUCGUCAACCCCGACGACUGCGAGCUCGAAAACCCGUGGAAGGAGAGCUUCCGCCAGCUGUGCUACGGCGUGCACGUGCGGCCCGGCUGGGAGGCGCGCGUGCCGCCGCCGCCGCCGGCCGGCCGCGCCCGCUCCUCGCGCGUCGCCUACGCCGAGACGGUGGAGUCUGCGGUGGAACAGAGCGAGCGACCCGGCGCGCCGGCCAACCCGCUCAUCUUCAUCCACACGGGCCACUACAUGCGCCAGUCGCUGGUCAUCAAGUCGAACGUGCAGCUAAUCGGCGCCGCGGCCGGCAAUGUGGCCAAACACGUCAUCAUCGAACACGGAAACGAGUCGACGCUCAAGUUCGGCAAGGGCGCGCGCCAGGCCUACGUGGGCUACGUGACGCUGCAGUUCGUGCCUGACAACGAGUCCUCGCACCUGAAGCACUACAGUCUGGAGGUGGUGGCCAACGCGGCGCCCAGCGGCGAGCACUGCUCCCCGGCGGCCGACCAGUGUUCUCCCACCGUGGACCAUUGCGUGGUGCGCAGCCGGUCGCUGGUUGGAGCCGCCGUGUGUGUCAGCGGCGCCCGCGCCGAGCCCAUAGUGCGCCACUGUGACAUUUCCGAGUGCGAGAACGUCGGUCUGUACAUCACUGACUAUGCGCAGGGCGUGUACGAGGACAAUGAGAUCAGCAAGAACCUGCUGGCAGGUAUCUGGGUGAAGAACCACGCCAACCCGGUGAUGCGGCGCAACCACAUCCACCACGGCCGGGACGUGGGCAUCUUCACCUUCAAUAACGGACAGGGGUACUUCGAGGCCAACGAUAUCCACGCCAACCGGAUCGCCGGCUUCGAGGUGAAGGCGGGCGCCAACCCGACGGUGGUGCGCUGCGACAUCCACCAUGGCCAGACGGGCGGCAUCUACGUGCACGAGAACGGGCUGGGCCAGUUCCUGGAGAACCGCAUCCACUCCAACUCGUACGCCGGCGUGUGGAUUACGGCCAACAGUAACCCGACCAUCCGCAAGAACGAGAUCUACAACGGCCAGCAGGGCGGCGUGUACAUCUUCAGCGACGGCCGCGGCCUCAUCGAGCACAACAACAUCUACGGCAACCAGCUGGCCGGUAUCCAGAUCCGCACCAACAGCUGUCCGAUCGUGCGCCACAAUCGGAUCCACCACGGCGAGCACGGCGGCAUCUACGUGCACGAGCGCGGCCAGGGCCUGAUCGAGGAGAACGAGGUGUUCAGCAACAAACUGGCCGGCGUGUGGAUCACCACGGGCAGCGCGCCCGUGCUGCGCAGAAACCGCAUCCACUCGGGAAAACAGGUGGGUGUCUACUUCUACGACAGCGGCCACGGCCAGCUGGAAGACAACGAGAUCUUCAACCACCUUUACUCGGGCGUGCAGAUCCGCACCAGCAGCAACCCGACGAUCCGGCGCAACAAGAUCUGGGGCGGCCAGAACGGCGGCGUGCUCGUCUACAACUCGGGCCUCGGCGAGCUCGAGCAGAACGAGAUCUUCGACAACGCCAUGGCCGGCGUCUGGAUCAAGACUGGCAGCAACCCGACGCUGCGCAGAAACAAAAUCUACGACGGACGCGAGGGCGGCAUCUGUAUCUUCCAGCGCGGAAAGGGCAUCCUGGAAGAGAACGAGAUAUUCCGUAACGUUCAGGCCGGCGUGCUGGUGUCGAACGACUCGCACCCGAUCCUGCGCCGGAACCUCAUCUUUGACGGCAUGGCGGCUGGCAUAGAGAUCACCAACCGCGCCACGGCCACCCUCGAGGCCAACAAGAUCUUCAACAACCGCUUCGGCGGCCUCUGCUUGGCCACCGGCGUCACGCCCAUCAUGAAAGGCAACAAGAUCUUCGACAACCAGGAUAUGGUGGAAAAGGCCAUCGAGGCCGGCCAGUGUCUGUACAAGAUUUCCAGCAACACGUCGUUCCCCAUGCACGACUUCUACCGGUGCAAGACGUGCAACACCACGGAAAAGAACGCCAUCUGCGUCAACUGUAUCAAAAUCUGCCACGCCGGCCACAGCGUCGAGUACAUUCGGCAUGAUCGGUUCUUCUGCGACUGCGGCGCGCGCGGCCUGCGCAACCCCUGCCAGCUGCAGGGCGAGCCCACCCAGGACUCGGACACGCUCUACGACUCGGCGCAGCCCAGCGAGUCGCAUACGCUGAAAUACAACGACAACUAGCCGGCAGAGCCCAGUGAUACACAACAAAUAUGGCACUAUUGUAUAUUAUAGUCGGCUGGCCGGCCGGCGCGCGACGCCAGCGCCGCGCUGCGGCGGGUGUCCGAAACUGUCGUUCGCCCGGUGGCUACCAGGCCGCGCGGCGGCAGAGACUUCUAGGUUUUUGAAUCGGAGGACAGCAGUGAGAGCCGCGGUGAGCGCCGGCGCCGCCCCAGUGAGAGAGCAGUGAGAUGGUGAGAGGACGUGUCCGCCGGACAGGGCUUCCAGAUGACCCAGACGCGGCGAGGUCUCAGAGACUCGUGCGGGCGGCCCCGCGGGGUGCCUGGACCCGGCGCCGGCCCGGCGGCCGCUCCACCGCUGGUGAUUGGCACGGACUGAACGCUGACGUGCCUCGGCGGCGGGCGCACCGCAGUGCUGCGCGGUCCGGUCCACCGGGGGACCCGCUGGCGGUCCCGGCAGUGUAACCCGGCGACUGGCGGAGCUGUGUGAGCGACUGGCCGUGUGAGCGACUGGCACUCGUGUGGCGCCCGCUGGAUCCCGGUCAGAUGCGGGCCGGGUCCGGAGAGGUCUGUGAUUGGCGGUCCGCCGCCCCUGCCGCUGCCGCUGUCGCUGGCAGCGAGGCAGCUCUCGGCCCGGCGUGGAGCGCCGGCGGCGCGGCAGGCCCGCUGGGCCCUGUCGGAGCCCGGCGCCGCCGGCAGGAGGUGUUACACGCCGCGCUCAGCGCUGCGGCCGCGCUGAUGACAAUAACAGUGUUCACGUGACCCGCCGGCGUCGCGGAGAGUGAGUGGAUCGGUUUUGUUGGCACCCACGAGGGCGGAUCAUGCUGUAGGUAAUUGUUCUUAUGAUCUGGGGCGGUUGGACGCGAGAGGUCUGUGUUUCGUUCCUCAAAGAGAUGUCGACUCGCCACCAGCGAAUGGCGAAGACUGACUUAUGCGACAAGUCAUCGCUUUUGCGAGCGUCGCCGAAUCCCGGCGCUGGCCGGCCGACAUUUAUAUUCUUAUGUGGCAAAACGUCCCGAGUUGUAUGGCUCCGUGCAUAGAACUUACAUUUUCAUUGUGAGAACAGUUUAUUGCGUGCUUUGCCAGUCUUGUCCCGUAAAUGCCGGCAAUGAGUUUUCACGGCUGCUUUGGAGCGAAAAUUGGUCGUAGUGCGUUUUUCUGUGUUGCCGGGGAGUUUCUGUCGGGCCCGAACCGGUCCCCAGUGGCGCGGCGGUCGCGGACAUGACACCGGGGGCGGGUCCGCCGGGGACUGGGUGUCCCCGCCCCCGCCCCCGCCCCCGCCCGGCGCCCGGCGCCCGCCUGUGUUGGUGUUGCUCGUGUCUCCGUAUGAUGUGCGUGCCCGUGGUGACACCAGUGAAACGUAACUCUCCUCUCUCUCUCCCCGCACCUCUGUCUGUCCCCGUCACUCCUGCCCUCACCCCUCUCUCCCUCUCUGCUUUCUCCCUUCUGACCCCCGUUUUCGGCCGUUCGCCUGUGUGGGUCGCGGACUGGGCUGCAGGCUCGGAGCGACGGCACACGACGCCCCACGCCCUGCACAGCGGAGUAGAUGGGUGGGGGAUACUAACUCGAUGUGAGUGAGAGAGUGUGUAAUGCAACUGCUAUCGAUAUCGGUACGAAAUAUAAAUCUUUAAGUGCG